This 459-nucleotide ribosomal RNA is filed under the name Bacillus mojavensis. RNAcentral's name for it is "bacterial SSU rRNA". It matches the Rfam family "Bacterial small subunit ribosomal RNA", at positions 977 to 1437 of the family's 1533-position model. Lineage: Bacteria; Bacillati; Bacillota; Bacilli; Caryophanales; Bacillaceae. The record is from RNAcentral.
GGUCUUGACAUCCUCUGACAACCCUAGAGAUAGGGCUUCCCCUUCGGGGGCAGAGUGACAGGUGGUGCAUGGUUGUCGUCAGCUCGUGUCGUGAGAUGUUGGGUUAAGUCCCGCAACGAGCGCAACCCUUGAUCUUAGUUGCCAGCAUUCAGUUGGGCACUCUAAGGUGACUGCCGGUGACAAACCGGAGGAAGGUGGGGAUGACGUCAAAUCAUCAUGCCCCUUAUGACCUGGGCUACACACGUGCUACAAUGGGCAGAACAAAGGGCAGCGAAGCCGCGAGGCUAAGCCAAUCCCACAAAUCUGUUCUCAGUUCGGAUCGCAGUCUGCAACUCGACUGCGUGAAGCUGGAAUCGCUAGUAAUCGCGGAUCAGCAUGCCGCGGUGAAUACGUUCCCGGGCCUUGUACACACCGCCCGUCACACCACGAGAGUUUGUAACACCCGAAGUCGGUGAGGUA